AUGACAAAGAGAACCAAGAAGGCAGGCAUUGUUGGAAAGUAUGGUACUCGAUAUGGUGCUAGUCUGCGGAAGCAGAUUAAGAAGAUGGAAGUUAGUCAACAUAGCAAAUUUUUCUGCGAAUUUUGUGGAAAGUAUGCUGUGAAAAGGAAGGCUGUAGGAAUAUGGGGAUGCAAGGAUUGUGGGAAAGUGAAAGCAGGGGGUGCUUACACUUUGAAUACUGCAAGUGCUGUGACUGUGAGGAGUACCAUCCGAAGGUUGAGGGAACAAACCGAGAGUUGA
Molecule: non-coding RNA, 279 nt
Organism: Vicia faba (fava bean)
Lineage: Eukaryota; Viridiplantae; Streptophyta; Magnoliopsida; Fabales; Fabaceae
Source: the annotation of a GenBank genome assembly